RNAcentral lists this ribosomal RNA (497 nucleotides) under uncultured bacterium. RNAcentral describes it as "partial 16S ribosomal RNA". It matches the Rfam family "Bacterial small subunit ribosomal RNA", at positions 28 to 507 of the family's 1533-position model. The record is from RNAcentral.
GAUGAACGCUGGCGGCGUGCCUAAUACAUGCAAGUCGAGCGAACAGACGAGGAGCUUGCUCCUCUGACGUUAGCGGCGGACGGGUGAGUAACGCGUGGAUAACCUACCUAUAAGACUGGGAUAACUUCGGGAAACCGGAGCUAAUACCGGAUAAUAUAUUGAACCGCAUGGUUCAAUAGUGAAAGACGGUUUUGCUGUCACUUAUAGAUGGAUCCGCGCCGCAUUAACUAGUUGGUAAGGUAACGGCUUACCAAGGCAACGAUGCGUAGCCGACCUGAGAGGGUGAUCGGCCACACUGGAACUGAGACACGGUCCAGACUCCUACGGGAGGCAGCAGUAGGGAAUCUUCCGCAAUGGGCGAAAGCCUGACGGAGCAACGCCGCGUGAGUGAUGAAGGUCUUCGGAUCGUAAAACUCUGUUAUUAGGGAAGAACAAAUGUGUAAGUAACUAUGCACGUCUUGACGGUACCUAAUCAGAAAGCCACGGCUAACUACGUG